RNAcentral lists this ribosomal RNA (496 nucleotides) under uncultured bacterium. RNAcentral describes it as "partial 16S ribosomal RNA". It matches the Rfam family "Bacterial small subunit ribosomal RNA", at positions 30 to 523 of the family's 1533-position model. The record is from RNAcentral.
AUUGAACGCUGGCGGAAUGCUUUACACAUGCAAGUCGAACGGUAGAGGGGGCAACCCCUCGAGAGUGGCGAACGGGUGAGUAAUAUAUCGGAACGUGCCCAGUCGUGGGGGGUAACGUAGCGAAAGUUACGCUAAUACCGCAUACGAUCUAAGGAUGAAAGCGGGGGAUCGCAAGACCUCGCGCGAUUGGAGCGGCCGAUAUCAGAUUAGGUAGUUGGUGGGGUAAAGGCUCACCAAGCCAACGAUCUGUAGCUGGUCGGAGAGGACGACCAGCCACACUGGAACUGGGACACGGUCCAGACUCCUACGGGAGGCAGCAGUGGGGAAUUUUGGACAAUGGACGCAAGUCUGAUCCAGCCAUUCCGCGUGCAGGAUGAAGGCCCUCGGGUUGUAAACUGCUUUUGUACGGAACGAAAAGGUCUCUCUUAAUACGGGGGACUCAUGACGGUACCGUAAGAAUAAGCACCGGCUAACUACGUGCCAGCAGCCGCCGUAA